RNAcentral lists this ribosomal RNA (516 nucleotides) under uncultured bacterium. RNAcentral describes it as "bacterial SSU rRNA". It matches the Rfam family "Bacterial small subunit ribosomal RNA", at positions 993 to 1509 of the family's 1533-position model. The record is from RNAcentral.
GAACUUUCCAGAGAUGGAUUGGUGCCUUCGGGAACUCUGAGACAGGUGCUGCAUGGCUGUCGUCAGCUCGUGUUGUGAAAUGUUGGGUUAAGUCCCGCAACGAGCGCAACCCUUAUCCUUUGUUGCCAGCGGUUAGGCCGGGAACUCAAAGGAGACUGCCAGUGAUAAACUGGAGGAAGGUGGGGAUGACGUCAAGUCAUCAUGGCCCUUACGAGUAGGGCUACACACGUGCUACAAUGGCGCAUACAAAGAGAAGCGACCUCGCGAGAGCAAGCGGACCUCAUAAAGUGCGUCGUAGUCCGGAUUGGAGUCUGCAACUCGACUCCAUGAAGUCGGAAUCGCUAGUAAUCGUGGAUCAGAAUGCCACGGUGAAUACGUUCCCGGGCCUUGUACACACCGCCCGUCACACCAUGGGAGUGGGUUGCAAAAGAAGUAGGUAGCUUAACCUUCGGGAGGGCGCUUACCACUUCGUGAUUCAUGACUGGGGUGAAGUCGUAACAAGGUAGGCGUAGUGCU